RNAcentral lists this ribosomal RNA (274 nucleotides) under uncultured bacterium. Its description in RNAcentral is "partial 16S ribosomal RNA". It matches the Rfam family "Bacterial small subunit ribosomal RNA", at positions 523 to 796 of the family's 1533-position model. The record is from RNAcentral.
AUACGUAGGGUGCAAGCGUUGUUCGGAAUUACUGGGCGUAAAGCGCGUGUAGGUGGUUUGGUAAGUCAUGUGUGAAAGCCCCCGGCUCAACCGGGGAAGUGCACUUGAAACUGCCUAGCUAGGGGGCGGCAGAGGGAGGUGGUAUUCCUAGUGUAGAGGUGAAAUUCGUAGAUAUUAGGAGGAAUACCGGUGGCGAAGGCGGCCUCCUGGACCGUACCUGACACUGAGACGCGAAAGCGUGGGUAGCAAACAGGAUUAGAAACCCUAGUAGUCC